UCUUAUUUUGGAGAUGAGGAUGAAGUGUUAAGGACAUUGAUGGGAAAUCUAGUGAGAACUCUAGGUUAUGACUAUGAAUUUGAAUGCCAAAAACAUUUGGAUGUUUGAUGAUUUCUUAGGAGUUUAAAUUUUAUAUAGAGGAUUUAUUUUCUCUGCAUAUUAUAUUAUUAGCUAAUUUUUUAAUAAUUUUGUGCUUCCUUAAAUGAAGCAAGCGCGUUUUUUGCACUUUGCACUUAAGCAAUGGAGUGAUGCAUCAUUUUGAUUGUACCUUAUGCUUUUGACUACCUUGAUUUUUUUGCUUUCUUUCAGCAAGUGUCUAAUUGGUGUAUUGUUGGCCAUUGGACAUUCAUUUGUAAAGUCAAAUUGUAUUUCAGUUUCUCUUUAACAUCA
Molecule: unclassified non-coding RNA, 390 nt
Filed under: Hevea brasiliensis (rubber tree)
Lineage: Eukaryota; Viridiplantae; Streptophyta; Magnoliopsida; Malpighiales; Euphorbiaceae
Source: RNAcentral